RNAcentral lists this unclassified non-coding RNA (200 nucleotides) under Rhodotorula sp. RNAcentral describes it as "partial internal transcribed spacer 2". Lineage: Eukaryota; Fungi; Basidiomycota; Microbotryomycetes; Sporidiobolales; Sporidiobolaceae. The record is from RNAcentral.
UUAAGUUCAGCGGGUAAUCCUGCCUGAUCUGAGGUCUAAUCUAGAGAAUUUGACUUCAAAAUGAGUUAGAAGCUUCUACCUCGAGAUUCGGCCACUACAAGUAGUGUCCUCAGCGAAUAGUCUAUUACGCCGAGUCAAUCCGAAUACUCGAAAUUGAGUUGCUAAUGUAUUACGAACGAGCUUCGUCUUCACCCACUAGA